RNAcentral lists this unclassified non-coding RNA (81 nucleotides) under soil metagenome. RNAcentral's name for it is "partial internal transcribed spacer 1". The record is from RNAcentral.
AAAAAUUGAGGUAUUCAUACCUCUUUUUGUAUUUAAAACCUUACACUAUAAAACCUAAACAAUUUUAUGUAUGAAAAUGAA